This 281-nucleotide ribosomal RNA is filed under the name uncultured bacterium. RNAcentral's name for it is "partial 16S ribosomal RNA". It matches the Rfam family "Bacterial small subunit ribosomal RNA", at positions 29 to 320 of the family's 1533-position model. The record is from RNAcentral.
AACGAACGCUGGCGGCAUGCCUAACACAUGCAAGUCGAACGCCUGUAGGCAAUACCAGGAAGUGGCGCACGGGUGAGUAACGCGUGGGAACCUGCCCUGGAGUGGGGAGUAACCGAGAGAAAUUUCGGCUAAUACCGCAUAACGACCUGAGGGUGAAAGAUUUAUCGCUACUAGGGAGGGGCCCCGACGUCGGUAUUAGGCUUAAGGUUGGUGGAGGUAACGCUCACCAAGGCUACGAUCCGUAGCGUGGUCUGAGAGGAUGAUCAGCCGACACUGGGACU